AAAACAAAAAUCAUGAAAGAUCUAUUUAACCAUAAAUGUAUGAAUUUGAUCACCACUCUUUGUAAACUCUAAUAGAAAGAUAUGAUGGUUAAAACUUUUCCAAUCAAUUAUAGGGCUAUAUUUUAGCCAUUCUAAUUCAAUCUUGGAAAUUUAAGUUAUAUACACUUUUAAAAGAAAAAUGUAUAAUAUACAGUAAUUAUUUCUAUUUAAGAGUUGUUUCUUUAGAGAAACACACAUUUCAAUAUAUCCAUGUCAACCAUAUUUAUUGUAUUUCUUCUACUCAGGGCUAGUCUAGAGUGUGUGAUCAAUAAUAUUUGCUAAAUAAAUUUUUUUAAAAAUACAUAUUUUAAUUGAUUGCUGACUAAAUAAACAUAUGGCCCACAGAUACAUCUUUGAUCAGAGGCUAGAAUUCACAAAUCAAUUUGUAGAAUCCAUAGAGUGUGGGACAGGAAACAAUGCUAAUUAGCUGCUGCUGUCUCUUUAUGCCUAAGUGUUAAUAAAUUACAUUUUGUUGCUAACGAAUAAUUCAUACUAUGGUGGUACUGGUGAUAUUGUUUUUUUUUUAAACCUGAAUUUUCUUAUAAUUCUUGAUUUUCUUAAGGCUUCGCAGCAAUAUUUCCUAUGAUGUCUAAGAAUGGGCCUUUCAGGCAUCUCUGGGAUCAAAGAGGUUAUUUCAACUUGAAAGAUGUUAGAUUCACUUAAGUAAUUUACCAGCAUCCACAGAUCACUAUGUUCUCCUUCAGAAUAAAAAGAACAAUUGGGUGAUUAUAAAUUAUAUUAAAGUAACAAACCAAAUAUUGGGAGAGGGGGCAAUGUUGAAUAGGGUUCAAAAAGGAAUUUAUAUGUGUGGACCAAUGUAUUUUUCUCUGAUUAUAUAUUUUUUUAUUGUGUAGAUAUGAAACCCUUUUCCCUUCCAUUUGACAAUUCAAAGAAAAAAGAGCUAAAUAAAAAGAAAAUUCCGAAGUUGUGAGUAUGAAUUUUAAUAGUACAAGUGUAUAUAUUUUAAAUGAUCAGUAUAAAUUUAAAAGAAACAGCUUAAUGAAAUACAAGUCAGUUUAUUUGAUAUUCAGCCUACAGCUUUCCAAAGCAGCAGUUGAACAUGUUGUUGAGUUUAUACCAUUCAUUCAUUCAUUUAUUUUUUCUUUCUUUCUUUCAGAAAAUACUGGGUGUUUGAUAUUUGUUUCACUGUGCUAGUUUCUGGGAAUGUGUAAGGAAGAGGCUGGCUGUGUGGAUGAGAGCAACUUGCUUUUUACAAUAAUUAUUUGUUAUUGUAAAUUAACAAUUUGCUCUUCUGGUAUUAUAUGGAAGUAUUUGAUCCUGUUGAUGGCACUGCCUUUGCUUUUGCAAGAUUAAAAUGAAAUGAAGUUUCUGAGAUGUUAACUCUAUUCUUGACCUCAAACAUGACACCAAGAUGACUGGAUACAAGAAGAAAAUUAAUGUCACCUCAGGAAGUAUCUCCCCCAUACUCCAUCAAGAGCACUUACGUGGCCAUAAGCACUGGCCACAUCCCCAUGCACCUGGGAACAAUCCAUUUAUUUUCUAAAACUUUAAAACUUUCUACAAACCUGAUUUUUCAAUUUUUGAUAUGUUUCUUAAAGUAUUUUAUCAAGAUUUUUUAUUUAUUUCCAAAUACUGGCUUGGAUUUUUUUCUCAUCUGAACACUGAGAAAUUCCAGGAAAAAAAACUAUAUUUGGUACUUCGUGUCUUCAAAUUUUGAUGCAAUGACUUUAUAAAUUAGCCUAUACUGAUAGUGUAAAACUGAGUUAAAAAAGGAAAAAACUUAGGCCCGUGUGGAAUAUUUACCAAUGCUUACUUUAAGGUAUAAAAAUGUGAGUAAAUGAAAGUAGAAAAACUGGGCUGAAAUGUAUCCACCACUCUUUUGGUAAUACAGUAGUAGGUAUUCAUUAUGAUUUAUUUUCCCUUGAAGCAUAUUUUGUCUUUAAGUUAUUUCGGUGUGUAAGAACAGAGUACAUUCACAUUUGUGCUUUUUUUUCCAAUAAAACUAUUGCUGCAUUGUUCGUUCUAAUAUUUAUCUCUGCAUUGAAUUGCUUCUUGAAUUUUUCUUUUUUAUUUUUAAGUUUCAUAUUCUACAUGAGAAUGUGUUUACUUCUCUACUGUGCUGCUGGGAAGUUAAAUGUAACAGUAAAACUUUAUUGAAAAGUAGAAAAUAGGAAAUUUUUCGAAAUUGAAAUUCUAUGUCUUUGUUCUUUUUGGAGAAAAGAUUUUUUUACCUAUGUGCUUUGGGGAUUUGACAUUAGUCAUUUGGUUGACCCUAGGAAAGGAUGUGAACUGAAUCCUCUUGAAUGAGAUCAUUUUUGUUGUUAAAUUUUUUGGUAUUCUUUGUGUAAAAUUGAUCUAAAAGAUUCUAUCUAUUCUGAUUGUUUUUCCCUCUAUAAGGAAGUAUAUAUAUUUUUUAAUGUUAUCAAUCCCUGUACCUAUUUGUUAACAUUUCCUUAAAUGUGUUUUCUCC
RNAcentral lists this long non-coding RNA (2470 nucleotides) under Homo sapiens (human). RNAcentral's name for it is "HSALNT0119137". Lineage: Eukaryota; Metazoa; Chordata; Mammalia; Primates; Hominidae. The record is from RNAcentral.